Non-coding RNA from Felis catus (domestic cat), 84 nucleotides. NCBI's taxonomy places the organism in Eukaryota, Metazoa, Chordata, Mammalia, Carnivora, Felidae. The record is from Rfam.
GCCUGGGUGGCUCAGUCGGUUGGGUGUCUGACUUCAGCUCAGGUCAUGAUCUCAUAGCUUGUGAGUUCGAACCCGCGUCAGGCU